CCUACGGGUGGCAGCAGUGGGGAAUAUUGCACAAUGGGGGAAACCCUGAUGCAGCGACGCCGCGUGAGUGAUGAAGUAUCUCGGUAUGUAAAGCUCUAUCAGCAGGGAAGAAAAUGACGGUACCUGACUAAGAAUCCCUGGCCAACUACGUGCCAGCAGCCGCGGUAAUACGUAGGGGGCACGCGUUAUCCGGAAUUACGGGGUGUAACGGGAGCGUAGACGGCGCUGCAAGUCCGGGGUGAAAGCCCAUGGCUUAACCAUGGUACUGCUCUGGAAACUGUGGAGCUUGAGUGCGGGAGGGGCAGGCGGAAUUCCUGGUGUAGCGGUGAAAUGCGUAGAUAUUAGGAGGAACAUCAGCGGCGAAGGCGGCCUGCUGGACCGUAACUGACGUUGAGGCGCGAAAGCGUGGGGAGCAAACAGGAUUAGAUACCCUUGUAGUC
Molecule: ribosomal RNA, 440 nt
Filed under: uncultured bacterium
Lineage: Bacteria
Description: partial 16S ribosomal RNA
Rfam family: Bacterial small subunit ribosomal RNA
Source: RNAcentral